Molecule: unclassified non-coding RNA, 18 nt
Filed under: Mus musculus (house mouse)
Lineage: Eukaryota; Metazoa; Chordata; Mammalia; Rodentia; Muridae
Description: oocyte_clustered_small_RNA13631
Source: RNAcentral
UGAGUUCUUGAGGGUGAG